RNAcentral lists this unclassified non-coding RNA (377 nucleotides) under soil metagenome. RNAcentral describes it as "partial contains 5.8S ribosomal RNA, internal transcribed spacer 2, and large subunit ribosomal RNA". The stretch from base 1 to 120 matches the Rfam family "5.8S ribosomal RNA", at positions 35 to 154 of the family's 154-position model. The record is from RNAcentral.
GAUGAAGAACGUAGUGAAAUGCGAUAAGUAAUGUGAAUUGCAGAAUUCAGUGAAUCAUCGAAUCUUUGAACGCACCUUGCACCCUUUGGCAUUCCGAAGGGUAUGCUCGUUUGAGUGUCAUUGUACUCUCACACUUCCGAUCUUUGGAUUGGGAGCGGUGGACUUGGGUGUUGCUGCUUACUGUGGCUCACCUCAAAUCGAUUCGUGCACCUCUUGGUUGGACAUAGUACGGCGUGAUAAGUGUCUUCGCCGGCACCUCAGUAGAGGGUGGCUGAUCGGGAGCUCUGCUUCAAACCGUCCUCGGACAACAACUGACAACUUGACCUCAAAUCGAGUAGGACUACCCGCUGAACUUAAGCAUAUCAAUAAGCGGAGGA